GGUGAGCGUGGGUUGCCGGGCCUCCAAGGAUUGAAGGGUGAACAGGGCUCUCCGGGGACACCUGGUUAUCCAGGAAGCAUGGGAGCGCCUGGACUGCCUGGACUAAAGGGUGAACGGGGAAGCCCGGGAAGCAGUGGUCAAAAAGGAGAA
Long non-coding RNA from Nematolebias whitei (Rio pearlfish), 150 nucleotides. RefSeq lists it as uncharacterized. The transcript is spliced from 3 exons. The record is from RefSeq and is a predicted model, not a curated record. Lineage: Eukaryota; Metazoa; Chordata; Actinopteri; Cyprinodontiformes; Rivulidae.